Molecule: ribosomal RNA, 371 nt
Filed under: uncultured organism
Description: bacterial SSU rRNA
Rfam family: Bacterial small subunit ribosomal RNA
Source: RNAcentral
CAUGUGGGGCAAGCGUUGUUCGGAAUUACUGGGCAUAAAGGGUGCGUAGGCGGCUUGUUAAGUCAGGGGUGAAAGUUUUCGGCCCAACCGGAAAAUUGCCUUUGAUACUGGCGAGCUGGAGUGCGCGAGGGGUGACCGGAACGAGUGGUGUAGCGGUGAAAUGCGUAGAUAUCACUCGGAAGGCCAACGGCGAAGGCAGGUCACUGGUGCGCAACUGACGCUGAGGCACGAAAGCGUGGGGAGCAAACAGGAUUAGAUACCCUGGUAGUCCACGCCGUAAACGAUGAGCACUAGGUAGGUGCCGAGCUAUUCGGUGCCUGCCGCAGGCAAUUUGGUAAGUGCUCCGCCUGGGGAGUAUGGUCGCAAGGCUG